RNAcentral lists this ribosomal RNA (520 nucleotides) under Coralliophila clathrata. RNAcentral's name for it is "partial 12S ribosomal RNA". Lineage: Eukaryota; Metazoa; Mollusca; Gastropoda; Neogastropoda; Muricidae. The record is from RNAcentral.
AACCAGGAAACCCAGUCAUUUUUUACGGUGAUAACAGUUAAAAUAUAUUUCAUUCAAGUUAAACUAAUAGAUAUUAUAAAGUAAAAUUUGAAUAUUUAAAAAGUCCUAAGAAAACAAGAAUUUGAUCUGUGAAAUCCUUGAGGGAAACUGGGAUUAGAUACCCCAUUAUUCAAGGGCAUAAAAAUUUUUACCAGGGUACUACGAACUAUGUUUAAAACUCAAAGGGCUUGGCGGUGCUUUAGACCCCCCAGGGGAACCUGUCUCAUAAUCGAUAAUCCGCGUAAGACCUGACUCCAUUUAUUUGGUUUGUAUAUCGUCGUCAGCAGGUAACCUCCGAAAGAACAAAAGUUAGCAGGAAAACAAUAAGUUAAGAUGUCAGAUCAAGAUGCAGCUUAUAAUGGAGGGAGGAUGGGUUACAAUUAUUAAGUUAUAAGACCGAAAUUGGUUGAAAGACCAACUGAAAGGAGGACUUGGAAGUAAAAAAAAAUAUAUAAACAUUUUGAAUAUGGCUCUGAGGUGU